UUUAACGAACGCUGGCGGCGUGGAUAAGACAUGCAAGUCGAACGGAUUUUCCGGAGUAGCAAUACAACGGGAGGUCACUGGCGCAAGGGUGAGUAACACGUGGGCAACCUGCCCGGAAAUGGGGGAUAGCCCGCCGAAAGGCGGAUUAAUACCGCAUGUGACUUAAGGUGGCAUCACCUUAAAGUGAAAGUCGGUGAAAGCUGACGUUUCCGGAUGGGCCCGCGGCCUAUCAGCUAGUUGGAGAGGUAACGGCUCACCAAGGCUAUGACGGGUAGCUGGUCUGAGAGGACGACCAGCCACACUGGAACUGAGACACGGUCCAGACACCUACGGGUGGCAGCAGUCGAGAAUUUUUCUCACUGGGGGAAACCCUGAAGGAGCGACGCCGCGUGGAGGAUGAAGGUCUUCGGAUUGUAAACUCCUGUCAUGAGGGAGUAAGACAUCGCGUUAACUGCGUGGGUGUUUGAUAGUACCUCAAGAGGAAGAGACGGCUAACUCUGUG
RNAcentral lists this ribosomal RNA (502 nucleotides) under uncultured bacterium. RNAcentral's name for it is "bacterial SSU rRNA". It matches the Rfam family "Bacterial small subunit ribosomal RNA", at positions 29 to 507 of the family's 1533-position model. The record is from RNAcentral.